GCAGUCGCCACGGUAAUACGGAGGGUGCAAGCGUUAAUCGGAAUUACUGGGCGUAAAGCGCACGCAGGCGGUCUGACAAGUCAGAUGUGAAAUCCCCGGGCUUAACCUGGGAACUGCAUUUGAAACUGUCAGGCUGGAGUCUUGUAGAGGGGGGUGGAAUUCCAGGUGUAGCGGUGAAAUGCGUAGAGAUCUGGAGGAAUACCGGUGGCGAAGGCGGCCCCCUGGACAAAGACUGACGCUCAGGUGCGAAAGCGUGGGGAGCAAACAGGAUUAGAUACCCGAGUAGUCCCUGUCUCUUAUAC
Molecule: ribosomal RNA, 302 nt
Filed under: uncultured bacterium
Lineage: Bacteria
Description: partial 16S ribosomal RNA
Rfam family: Bacterial small subunit ribosomal RNA
Source: RNAcentral